GACGAACGCUGGCGGCGUGCUUAACACAUGCAAGUCGAACGGAAAGGCCCUGCUUUUGUGGGGUGCUCGAGUGGCGAAAGGGUGAGUAACACGUGAGUAACCUGCCCUUGACUUUGGGAUAACUUCAGGAACCUGGGGCUAAUACCGGAUCGGAGCUCCUGCUGCAUGGUGGGGGUUGGAAAGUUUCGGCGGUUGGGGAUGGGCUCGCGGCUUAUCAGCUUGUUGGUGGGGUAGUGGCUUACCAAGGCUGUGACGGGUAGCCGGCCUGGGAGGGUGACCGGCCACGUUGGGACUGAGAUGCGGCCCAGACUCCUACGAGAGGCAGCAGUGGGGAAUAGUGCACAAUGGGCGGAAGCCUGAUGCAGCAACGCCGCGUGCGGGAUGACGGCCUGCGGGUUGUAAACCGCUUUCGCCUGAGACGAAGCGUGAGUGACGGUAAUGGGUAAAGAAGCACCGGCUAACUACGUG
RNAcentral lists this ribosomal RNA (468 nucleotides) under uncultured bacterium. RNAcentral's name for it is "partial 16S ribosomal RNA". It matches the Rfam family "Bacterial small subunit ribosomal RNA", at positions 28 to 507 of the family's 1533-position model. The record is from RNAcentral.